GGACCCGCACAAGUAGUGGAGCAUGUGGUUUAAUUCGAAGAUACGCGCAGAACCUUACCAACACUUGACAUGUUCGUCGCGACUUUAAGAGAUUAAAGUUUUCGGUUCGGCCGGACGAAACACAGGUGCUGCAUGGCUGUCGUCAGCUCGUGUCGUGAGAUGUUGGGUUAAGUCCCGCAACGAGCGCAACCCUUACUUUUAGUUGCCAUCAUUUAGUUGGGCACUCUGAAAGAACUGCCAGUGAUAAGCUGGAGGAAGGUGGGGAUGACGUCAAGUCCUCAUGGCCCUUACGUGUUGGGCUACACACGUGCUACAAUGGCAUUUACAAUAGGAAGCAAGACGGCGACGUUAAGCAAAUCCUUAAAAGAUACCUCAGUUCGGAUUGCACUCUGCAACUCGAGUGCAUGAAGCUGGAAUUACUAGUAAUCGUGGAUC
Molecule: ribosomal RNA, 435 nt
Filed under: uncultured bacterium
Lineage: Bacteria
Description: bacterial SSU rRNA
Rfam family: Bacterial small subunit ribosomal RNA
Source: RNAcentral